AGUGAACGCUGGCGGUAGGCCUAACACAUGCAAGUCGAACGGCAGCACAGUAAGAGCUUGCUCUUACGGGUGGCGAGUGGCGGACGGGUGAGGAAUACAUCGGAAUCUACUUUUUCGUGGGGGAUAACGUAGGGAAACUUACGCUAAUACCGCAUACGACCUACGGGUGAAAGCAGGGGAUCUUCGGACCUUGCGCGAUUGAAUGAGCCGAUGUCGGAUUAGCUAGUUGGCGGGGUAAAGGCCCACCAAGGCGACGAUCCGUAGCUGGUCUGAGAGGAUGAUCAGCCAAACUGGAACUGAGACACGGUCCAGACGCCUACGGGAGGCAGCAGUGGGGAAUAUUGGACAAUGGGCGCAAGCCUGAUCCAGCCAUACCGCGUGGGUGAAGAAGGCCUUCGGGUUGUAAAGCCCUUUUGUUGGGAAAGAAAAGCAGCAGGUUAAUACCCCGCUGUUCUGACGGUACCCAAAGAAUAAGCACCGGCUAACUUCGU
Molecule: ribosomal RNA, 491 nt
Filed under: uncultured bacterium
Lineage: Bacteria
Description: partial 16S ribosomal RNA
Rfam family: Bacterial small subunit ribosomal RNA
Source: RNAcentral